GUGGGGAAUCUUGCGCAAUGGGCGAAAGCCUGACGCAGCCAUGCCGCGUGAAUGAUGAAGGUCUUAGGAUUGUAAAAUUCUUUCACCGGGGACGAUAAUGACGGUACCCGGAGAAGAAGCUCCGGCUAACUUCGUGCCAGCAGCCGCGGUAAUACGAAGGGGGCUAGCGUUGCUCGGAAUUACUGGGCGUAAAGGGCGCGUAGGCGGACAGCUUAGUCAGAGGUGAAAGCCCAGGGCUCAACCUUGGAAUUGCCUUUGAUACUGGCUGUCUUGAGUUUGGGAGAGGUGAGUGGAACUCCGAGUGUAGAGGUGAAAUUCGUAGAUAUUCGGAAGAACACCAGUGGCGAAGGCGACUCACUGGCCCAAUACUGACGCUGAGGCGCGAAAGCGUGGGGAGCAAACAGGAUUAGAAACCCUUGUAGUCC
This 425-nucleotide ribosomal RNA is filed under the name uncultured bacterium. Its description in RNAcentral is "bacterial SSU rRNA". It matches the Rfam family "Bacterial small subunit ribosomal RNA", at positions 354 to 796 of the family's 1533-position model. The record is from RNAcentral.